AUUGAACGCUGGCGGCAGGCCUAACACAUGCAAGUCGAACGGUAGCACAGAGAGCUUGCUCUCGGGUGACGAGUGGCGGACGGGUGAGUAACGUCUGGGAAACUGCCCGAUGGAGGGGAUAACUACUGGAAACGGUAGCUAAUACCGCAUAACGUCGCAAGACCAAAGUGGGGGACCUUCGGGCCUCACACCAUCGGAUGUGCCCAGAUGGGAUUAGCUAGUAGGUGGGGUAAUGGCUCACCUAGGCGACGAUCCCUAGCUGGUCUGAGAGGAUGACCAGCCGCACUGGAACUGAGACACGGUCCAGACGCCUACGGGAGGCAGCAGUGGGGAAUAUUGCACAAUGGGCGCAAGCCUGAUGCAGCCAUGCCGCGUGUAUGAAGAAGGCCUUCGGGUUGUAAAGUACUUUCAGCGGGGAGGAAGGCGGUGAAGUUAAUAGCUUAACCGAUUGACGUUACCCGCAGAAGAAGCACCGGCUAACUCCGUGCCAGCAGCCGCCGUAA
This 503-nucleotide ribosomal RNA is filed under the name uncultured bacterium. Its description in RNAcentral is "partial 16S ribosomal RNA". It matches the Rfam family "Bacterial small subunit ribosomal RNA", at positions 29 to 523 of the family's 1533-position model. The record is from RNAcentral.